UGGUUUCCUGUUUCUCACGGCAGUGGGCCCGGGGCCGAUUAAUAAUUUCACUGCGGUGUUCCUUUACGGCGACGCUCUCUUGAACGACGCCAUUUUGAAUCCCGUUAUGUUGUGAAGUUGUGUUUUGCGGAGUGGGGCUUUUCGCUGCCGUUCUGUGAAUGGUGGCUGGUAGUUUUAUUAGAACCGACAAAAUUUGCGAAAUAAUCGUCUUUCAUCACCUACUUUGCUCAAGAUUUUCGAUAAGUUGACUGGUUUUGCGUGCUAGAGGAGUGACGCCGAGGACGUCGCUUUCGGUCGAGUCCCUCGCUUGGUAAUCACGAUGGCUCUGGACGGGCAGAAGUUCUGUCUCAAGUGGGACGGAUUCCAGAGUAGCGUGACGUCGCUGUUCGACAACCUCAGGCAGGUGGAGGAGCUGGUGGACAUCACGCUCUGCUGCGAGGGCCACCAGGUGCGCGCGCAUAGGAUGAUGCUGUCCGUCUGCAGCCCGUACUUCAGGGAUCUGCUGAAGAACAAUCCGUGCCAACAGAUGGUAUUCUUCCUCAAAGACACCACGGCGGCCGACCUGAACGCGGUCAUCGAGUUCAUAUACAAGGGGAGCGUGAACGUGUCGCAGAGCCAGCUGGCCAGCUUCAUCAAGACGGCAGAGAUGCUGCAGAUCCGGGGCCUGAGCGGCGAGGAGGAUAAGGCGGCGCCGCCUCCGUCACCCCGCCGCACCCCCGCCGCACCUGCCACCGCUACGCCACCACACAAACGCCGCCGUAUCUCGGGUUCGGACACCAUCCCCCGCCGCUCGCCAGCUUCACCAUCUCAACGACCACGAACACCAACACCGCCACCAGGCGGACAACCGCUUCCACCACCGCCACCACCUCAACCAGCUACCCUACAAGAUCUCCCGCUUGAGCAGACACAACAUAUGGAUCACCAACCUCCACCGCCGCCUCAACACUCUACACACGCUCCGACGCCAGUGGCGGAGUCGGUUAAAGUCGAGAAGAUUGAUCUCACGGAAGAUGAAGAAGAGGCGAGUCUCGACUCGACGCUGUGUCAUGUAGCGGAGUAUGAAGGUGGUUAUGAUGGGUCGAACUCUGGAAUGGAACAGAUGCCCAUGCUGUCGGCAGACGCGUUAGGAGGAUUACCACCGCUGGGCGCCGGCCCGUCUCAGCCGGCACGCCCCCAUGGUCUACCUCACACCCCGGGCGGAGCCCAACCAGAGGACGGAUCAGGCGCAGAUUACCCGCACCGAUGUGAAAUUUGCGGUCGUGGCUACCAAACUCGCGACUCCCUAAAUCAUCAUCGCCACGUGCACUUUGGCUCUACAAGAUGCACACUGUGCGGGAAGACCUGUUCCAAGGUGGCUGCCCUGCGAGCACAUCUUCAGACGCAGCAUGGACUUACGCCGCAGCAAGUUAGGGCGCUUGUGCCAACAAGGAAUAGGGUUUCGUUGUCUGGGGGGUGGCCUGUGUGAAUGUCACGAGGGAGGAUGUGUGAGCAUAGGCGGCGGAACGGGGAGGGCACCGGGGCACCGUGCCUCCCUUUGAUUUUGGCAUUUUAACAUUAGCCCUAUGGGCGUUGCAUGGAAAGAAUGGGACCAAAAGUCGGCAGUGCCUCCCCCCCCCCCGUAAUUGAAAGUGUUCCGCCGCUGCUGUGUGUGAGGCGGUGAUGGUGGAGAAGAUGUUGACUGUUUUGGUGGAAAUAAUGGUGCGAGUGGUAGAAGCGUGUCUUGCUCAAGCAUCUUAUGAUCUGAGGCCAUUGUUAUGAAAUAAAAUCGAGUCAUCCGCUGCAACUCAAAAUCAACCCGAAUUGACCAGCUUCUCGUUCUUAUAAAGAAAAUAAACGUGGUUAAUGGUAACGCAUCCUACGUCUCCUUUUUUUUUUGCUCAGAAUUAGGAAUAAAAUUCGCAGCCGGCUCGGAUUUUGUUUUAGAAUAAUGGUGUCUGUUUUAUAAUAGGUAUUGUUCUUCCGCACGAACAUAAUCUCUGUUUGAUUUUGUCAAUGUAAAACCGAGCUGCUGCUGCGUCUCCUGAAGGGUGACCUCUCGAAUGAGGACCAGUGAGGAGAGGCUUGAGUGUUGAGCACAAAGGGGGUCACGUAAUCCGAACUUGCUUGUAUAGCGGUAGUAGCGCGUACAAAGGGAAUUCCGUUCAUGAGGAAAUGGAGUUUUUUUUUUAAUGGAAUGACCUAUACGAAGUAACUAUUUUUAUUUUUGCAACGGGCUUCUCACCUCCUAUGCCCGCGAUGUAUAAGCAAGGACUUCAGUGAGAGUAUGUGUGCAUCGUGUGUAUAGAGUUUGACUUGGAAAUGCACAGACUGACCAAAACGUUCUUUACCUCACUUAAUAAAUAACUAUAGGUAAGAUGACCUCCUAUAGGUACGGCUUUUAACAGAUGAUAUAACCGAGAAAAAAAAACAUCCAGUAAGUAGGCGAUGUGUACAUAUUGUGUGUGUUCUGGCGCUGGUACAAUGGUUAUAUCUGAUGCUAACUCAACAUUAGCGUAGUGGUGCUGGUGUAAAUAAAUUUUGAAUGUAA
Molecule: unclassified non-coding RNA, 2530 nt
Filed under: Amphibalanus amphitrite
Lineage: Eukaryota; Metazoa; Arthropoda; Thecostraca; Balanomorpha; Balanidae
Description: protein bric-a-brac 1-like, transcript variant X8
Source: RNAcentral